GAUGAACGCUGGCGGCGUGCCUAAUACAUGCAGGUCGAACGAGGUAUCUUUGUAGCAAUACGAGGGUAUCCUAGUGGCGAACGGGUGAGUAACGCGUUGGUGACCUACCCCAAAGUCUGGGAUAACCCCGCGAAAGCGGGGCUAAUACCGGAUGUGGUCAUCGGGAUUAGAAUCCGAUGUCUAAAGGAGCAAUUCGCUUUGGGAGGGGCCUGCGUCCCAUCAGCUAGUUGGUAGGGUAAUGGCCUACCAAGGCUUCGACGGGUAGGGGACCUCAGAGGGUGGCCCCCCACAAUGGAACUGAAACACGGUCCAUACACCUACGGGUGGCAGCAGUAGGGAAUAUUGCACAAUGGGCGAAAGCCUGAUGCAGCAACGCCGCGUGCGCGAAGAAGGUCUUCGGAUCGUAAAGCGCUUUUCUGGGAGAUGAGAAAGGACAGUAUCCCAGGAAUAAGUCUCGGCUAACUACGUGCCAGCAGCCGCGGUAAAACGUAGGAGGCGAG
RNAcentral lists this ribosomal RNA (500 nucleotides) under uncultured bacterium. RNAcentral describes it as "bacterial SSU rRNA". It matches the Rfam family "Bacterial small subunit ribosomal RNA", at positions 28 to 538 of the family's 1533-position model. The record is from RNAcentral.